UACGUAGGGUGCGAGCGUUGUCCGGAAUUAUUGGGCGUAAAGGGCUCGUAGGCGGUUUGUCGCGUCGGGAGUGAAAACCUCGGGCUUAACUCGGGGCUUGCUUUCGAUACGGGCAGACUGGAGGUAUGCAGGGGAGAACGGAAUUCCUGGUGUAGCGGUGAAAUGCGCAGAUAUCAGGAGGAACACCGGUGGCGAAGGCGGUUCUCUGGGCAUGACCUGACGCUGAGGAGCGAAAGUGUGGGGGAGCGAACAGG
Molecule: ribosomal RNA, 254 nt
Filed under: uncultured bacterium
Lineage: Bacteria
Description: partial 16S ribosomal RNA
Rfam family: Bacterial small subunit ribosomal RNA
Source: RNAcentral